This 369-nucleotide long non-coding RNA is filed under the name Carica papaya (papaya). RNAcentral describes it as "long non-coding RNA (CPAP_LNC000727)". Lineage: Eukaryota; Viridiplantae; Streptophyta; Magnoliopsida; Brassicales; Caricaceae. The record is from RNAcentral.
GACAAGACUUCUUUCUUAAGUUGCCAUGAGUGUUCAACUUCUCUGUUUAACAUGAAAGCUGUAAGGGGGACUUUUUAUUCUUUGGUCAGGUUUAGGACAGAGAAGAGCUUCUCUAUUUGUAGGAUUCAGGCUUCAGCUACUAAAGGAUUAGGGCCACCUUCAAAGUGUUGGGUGUUAAGUUUCUUAAACUCCACUAUAUUUUAGAAGAUUGACCGAUCUGUGUCUCAGAAUUUAGGGGCAAGAGGUGGACAAGGGUUGCCUUUGUUCUAUCCUACGACUACAAUUAAUCCUUAGAUGGCUCAGAAAAGUUUUACAAAUUUAACCUUAGUCGGAUGAUCCGGGGCUUUAAGUCGCUCAAUAUGCUCUACG